ACGGCAACCGACAUCAUCCUCCAUACACACACACGCACGCAGCAUACUCAGCCCCGUAACAAUCAAUGAGCUAGUAGCACCGAAUGAUUUCGCUAUGCUCAAUAGGUGAAGCCCUCUGAAAGGGAAUGAAGCGAGCCGUUGGAAAUUACCAACAUACUCUCCACAUACAUUCAAAUACGGGGGAGAACAAAUUCAAUCGAGGAAUCCCAGCCCCCUUCCAGGAAUAAAUAAGAAAAUAAUAAACCUCCAUGAACUUACCAUGUUACUGUGCUAGUUAUGUGUGUCCCCCAUGUUGCAGUCUACCCAA
This 307-nucleotide small RNA is filed under the name Histoplasma capsulatum var. duboisii H88. RNAcentral's name for it is "Histoplasma capsulatum H88 hypothetical RNA". The record is from RNAcentral. Lineage: Eukaryota; Fungi; Ascomycota; Eurotiomycetes; Onygenales; Ajellomycetaceae.